AGAGUUUGUAUCCUGGCUCAAGAACGAACGCUGGCGGGCAGGCUUAACACAUGCAAGUCGAACGCCCGCAAGGGGAGGUGGCAGAACGGGUGAGUAACGCGUGGGAAUCUACCCAUCUCUACGGAAUAACUCAGGGAAACUUGUGCUAAUACCGUAUACGCCCUUUGGGGAAAGAUUUAUCGGAGAUGGAUGAGCCCGCGUUGGAUUAGCUAGUUGGUGGGGUAAAGGCCUACCAAGGCGACGAUCCAUAGCUGGUCUGAGAGGAUGAUCAGCCACAUUGGGACUGGGACACGGCCCAAACUCCUACGGGAGGCAGCAGUGGGGAAGUAUUGGACAAUGGGCGCAAGCCUGAUCCAGCCAUGCCGCGUGAGUGAUGAAGGCCCUAGGGUUGUAAAGCUCUUUCACCGAUGAAGAUAAUGACUGUAGUCGGAGAAGAAGCCCCGGCUAACUUCGUG
RNAcentral lists this ribosomal RNA (455 nucleotides) under uncultured Pseudomonadota bacterium. RNAcentral describes it as "bacterial SSU rRNA". It matches the Rfam family "Bacterial small subunit ribosomal RNA", at positions 8 to 507 of the family's 1533-position model. The record is from RNAcentral. Lineage: Bacteria; Pseudomonadati; Pseudomonadota.